GUAAAUACACAGAACAAAUAUAAAUGUAAUUAUUGGUUAGCUUUGAUAAUUGAAUGCCUUUCUAAAUGGCCCGGUACCUGUUAGCUGGAAUGCCUAAGUGGCUCUCAAGCCUUUAAAGCUGGAGAUUCAGAAUAUCUGCUAAUACUGUCUAGAGACUGUGCGGCUCUGAAAGGCUUUCUCCUUGCCCUACUGAAAUAUCUUUGGAGUUUGAACUUUGGGUGCAAAUGUGACUAUUCCUGACAGUUCUCUGAAGAGGGCUCAUGAACCUUCUGGAGUUCUGGAUGGUGGUUUUCCUUCAUUUGGGCAGAAUAAGAUGCUCCUCAUCAGACCUGUGCUCCAGACCUCUCAACAGCUUCACUGCCCUUCUCUGGACAUGCUUGUAGAGGAUGAAAGAAUGCGCCUCUUUAAACCCCUGUGAUUCAUGAUGUUACUUCAGUAGUAGACCAUUUCACUUCAUUUCACUUCUCCAGCUUUUGAUAGGCUUCAAUGCAUUGUCUCCUGAUGUUCCUGAAAGUAUGAAGUAUUUUCUGCUAUUUCAAGGUGUUCUCUAGCCUGUCUGCUACAAUAUGAAGAAGGACUCAGUGGCAGCAUUGAAUAAUUAUUUACAGAAGAGGUAAAAAAAAAAUUUUAGUUAUACAAGAGUGUGCAUGUCACACUUGUAGAAAUCUGCACCAGAGGAGGUGACCCACUGUUGCUAUCAUCACUGCUAAAAUGCACCACCCACUGUUUAUUGUGCUCACAUCCACUCUUUGAUCUCUAGAAAUGUUCAGCAAGCAUCAGUGAACAUCAAUGGGUGCCAUUUUUUCCGCAUGGAGG
This 816-nucleotide long non-coding RNA is filed under the name Gallus gallus (chicken). RNAcentral describes it as "lncRNA (ENSGALG00010014947.1)". Lineage: Eukaryota; Metazoa; Chordata; Aves; Galliformes; Phasianidae. The record is from RNAcentral.